Spinacia oleracea (spinach) is the source of this 976-nucleotide long non-coding RNA. RefSeq lists it as uncharacterized. NCBI's taxonomy places the organism in Eukaryota, Viridiplantae, Streptophyta, Magnoliopsida, Caryophyllales, Amaranthaceae. The record is from RefSeq and is a predicted model, not a curated record. The transcript has 3 exons.
GUUAACUUCUCCUCUCCUUCUUCUUCUCCCUGAAAUUAAGCCACGUAAAUGGCAAACUCCAAGUUUUCUUUCUCUUCUUCUUCAUUUACAAAACCCAUCUCAAUUCAGAAAAUGGAUGGAAUCACCAAGAAACCCAAAAUCAAUUUCAUUCACUUCUCUUUCUGUGAUUUCGAAACACCACCACCACAGCAACCACCUUCGACCACCACCACCACAACGAACCACCUUCGACCACCACCACCACAGCAACCACCUUCGACCACCACACCUCUCUCGCUCUCUUCCUUUUCCCCCGCGCGCAUCCCCUGCCCCCUUCCCCUGCUUCCUCCUCCCUCGCCCCACCGCACCAACACCACACCACACACCACCAACUCCAGUCACCCUCACCACCUCGCCAACCACCUCCGCCCUCAAUUCCGGCGAGCCACCGCCCAAAACCACCUUGAAACACCCCCGAAUUUUCCCCUGUUUCGCCCACUUCGCGCUUCAUUUUCUCGCCCCCUCGCCGCUCCGCCGCCACCAAACCACCGCCAUCACCGUCGCCCUCAUCGUCGAGCCACCCCAGCCAACCCCCUUUCCUCUUUCCUCUUCCCUCCUCCUCGACCGUUUUCUUUCCCCCUCCCUGUUCGUUCGUGUCUGUUCCCAGCCAAAACCAAAAAUAAUUUUUGGUUUUGAUUUUAUUCUCCUUUAAAACCCACAAUUGAAAUUGGGCCAAAUUGAUUUGGGCUUUUGGAAAUUGGACUCGGAGCUCAGGACGAACGAACCAACGAAAAUCCCUUAGCAAAGUCGCGGAAUCAAGGUACCGCGGGGAACGAUGGAAACGAUUAGUGGCGAGGAAAUUUACUAUAAUAAUGUUCACUUAGUUUAUGCUUAAUGUUGUAAUAGUUUAAUUAAAGACUUUUAAUAAGUUAUGUACCUUUAUGUUGGUUUAUAAAAAGGACUAUUAUAUUAUUUUGGGAGUUCUAAUGGAUUAUGA